UAUUGGUCAAUGGACGCGAGUCUGAACCAGCCAAGCAGCGUGAAGGAUGACUGCCCUCUGGGUUGUAAACUUCUUUUAUAUGGGAAUAAAGUUUUCCACGAGUGGAAUUUUGUAUGUACCAUAUGAACAAGCAUCGGCUAACUCCGUUCCAGCAGCCGCGGUAAUACGGAGGAUCCGAGCGUUAUCCGGAUUUAUUGGGUUUAAAGGGAGCGUAGGUGGAUUGUUAAGUCAGUUGUGAAAGUUUGCGGCUCAACCGUAAAAUUGCAGUUGAAACUGGCAGUGUUGAGUACAGUAGAGGUGGGCGGAAUUCGUGGUGUAGCGGUGAAAUGCUUAGAUAUCACGAAGAACUCCGAUUGCGAAGGCAGCUCACUAGACUGCAACUGACACUGAUGCUCGAAAGUGUGGGUAUCAAGC
RNAcentral lists this ribosomal RNA (414 nucleotides) under uncultured bacterium. Its description in RNAcentral is "bacterial SSU rRNA". It matches the Rfam family "Bacterial small subunit ribosomal RNA", at positions 362 to 773 of the family's 1533-position model. The record is from RNAcentral.